RNAcentral lists this ribosomal RNA (121 nucleotides) under Escherichia coli. RNAcentral describes it as "partial 16S ribosomal RNA". It matches the Rfam family "Bacterial small subunit ribosomal RNA", at positions 1 to 112 of the family's 1533-position model. The record is from RNAcentral. Lineage: Bacteria; Pseudomonadati; Pseudomonadota; Gammaproteobacteria; Enterobacterales; Enterobacteriaceae.
UUAAAUUGAAGAGUUUGAUCAUGGCUCAGAUUGAACGCUGGCGGCAGGCCUAACACAUGCAAGUCGAACGGUAACAGGAAGAAGCUUGCUUCUUUGCUGACGAGUGGCGGACGGGUGAGUA